RNAcentral lists this ribosomal RNA (379 nucleotides) under uncultured eukaryote. Its description in RNAcentral is "SSU rRNA". It matches the Rfam family "Eukaryotic small subunit ribosomal RNA", at positions 587 to 972 of the family's 1831-position model. The record is from RNAcentral.
AGCUCCAAUAGCGUAUAUUAAAGUUGUUGCAGUUAAAAAGCUCGUAGUUGGAUUUCGGGAUGGUUCGGCCGGUCUGCCGCAAGGUGUGUUACUGGCCGCGCUGUCCUUCCUCGCAAAGACUGUGUGUGCUCUUAGCUGAGUGUGCAUAGGAUCUGUGACGUUUACUUUGAGAAAAUUAGAGUGUUCAAAGCAAGCCAGUGUUUGAAUACAUAAGCAUGGAAUAAUGGAAUAGGACUUUGGUUCUAUUUUGUUGGUUUCUGGAACCGAAGUAAUGAUUGAGAGAGACAGUUGGGGGCAUUCGUAUUUCGUUGUCAGAGGUGAAAUUCUUGGAUUUACGAAAGACGAACUACUGCGAAAGCAUUUGCCAAGAAUGUUUUCA